UACAGAGGGGGCAAGCGUUGUUCGGAAUUACUGGGCGUAAAGGGCGCGUAGGCGGCCAUGCGUGUCUUCCGUGAAAUCCCUCGGCUUAACUGAGGACGUGCGGAAGAAACUGCAAGGCUCGAGUCCGGGAGAGGGGGGUGGAAUUCCCAGUGUAGCGGUGAAAUGCGUAGAUAUUGGGAGGAACACCGGUGGCGAAGGCGGCCCCCUGGACCGGUACUGACGCUGAGGCGCGAAAGCGUGGGUAGCAAACGGG
RNAcentral lists this ribosomal RNA (253 nucleotides) under uncultured bacterium. RNAcentral's name for it is "partial 16S ribosomal RNA". It matches the Rfam family "Bacterial small subunit ribosomal RNA", at positions 524 to 776 of the family's 1533-position model. The record is from RNAcentral.